GGGUCCUUAGCUCAGUUGGUAGUAGCGGCUCCCUUACAAGGAGUAGGUCGGCGGUUCGACCCCGUCAGGACCCACCA
RNAcentral lists this transfer RNA (77 nucleotides) under Burkholderia ubonensis. RNAcentral's name for it is "tRNA-Val". It matches the Rfam family "tRNA". From Rfam's summary of the family: Transfer RNA (tRNA) molecules are approximately 80 nucleotides in length. Their secondary structure includes four short double-helical elements and three loops (D, anti-codon, and T loops). Further hydrogen bonds mediate the characteristic L-shaped molecular structure. tRNAs have two regions of fundamental functional importance: the anti-codon, which is responsible for specific mRNA codon recognition, and the 3' end, to which the tRNAs corresponding amino acid is attached (by aminoacyl-tRNA synthetases). tRNAs cope with the degeneracy of the genetic code in two manners: having more than one tRNA (with a specific anti-codon) for a particular amino acid; and 'wobble' base-pairing, i.e. permitting non-standard base-pairing at the 3rd anti-codon position. Lineage: Bacteria; Pseudomonadati; Pseudomonadota; Betaproteobacteria; Burkholderiales; Burkholderiaceae. The record is from RNAcentral.